UUGUGUUUACCAAUUAUUUCUCUAUAGAAUAUGAUCUAAGAAAGCUUCGAUUUAGUAACGAUAUUGAGAUGCAGUAACUUUAUAAGUUAACUAAUCAGAGCCAGCGAUUGAGAGCAGCCUAUGGUGAUCGAUGAACUAUUAUAUGAAGGCAUUAAUGCUUGCUAGAGAACGUGCUGGUAUGGACUGCAAUAGCUGCUGCACUUGCUCUCAUGUUUCUGGAUUUCAAGGGUGCUCUGCCAUGCCUGGAGAAGAUAAAAUCACUGGACAUCAUCCUUCUGUUAUUACUUUAUAUUUCCGGAACUGAAAGGGAAUUCUUCAAUCCAACUUCAAAUCUGGAAACCUUUAAAAUUGAAAUCACUGGUCCAAUUUUAGUUGCG
This 377-nucleotide unclassified non-coding RNA is filed under the name Hevea brasiliensis (rubber tree). Lineage: Eukaryota; Viridiplantae; Streptophyta; Magnoliopsida; Malpighiales; Euphorbiaceae. The record is from RNAcentral.